AGACGCUGGAUAUUUUAGACAGGCUUCUCGCCCAUCUACCUGUUGAUGGACGGGACGAGAUGGUCCGUGACAAAGUGCACCAGACCCUCCUGCAACAAAGCACCCCCACAACAUGAUGCUGCCACUGCCGUGCUUCACGGUUGGGAUGGUGUCCUUCGGCUUGCAAGUCUUCCCCCUUUUCCUCCAAACAUAACGAUGGUCAUUAUGGCCAAACAGUUCUAUUUUUGUUUCAUCAGACCAGAGGACAUUUCUCCAAAAAGUAUGAUCUUUGUCCCCAUGUGCAGUUGCAAACCAUAGUCUGGCUUUUUUAUGGCGGUUUUGGAGCAGUGGCUUCUUCCUUGCUGAACGGCAAGGAAGAUAUGUCGAUAUAGGACUUGUUUUACUGUGGAUAUAGAUACUUUUGUACCAGUUUCCUCCAGCAUCUUCACAAGGUCCUUUGCUGCUGUUCUGGGAGUGAUUUGCACUGUUCACACCAAAGUACGUUCAUCUCUAGGAGACAGAACGCGUCUCCUUCCUGAGCGGUAUGACGGCUGUGUGGUCCCAUGGUGUUUAUACUUGCGUACUAUUGUUUGUACAGAUGAACAUGGUGCCUUCAGGUGUUUGGAAAUUGCUCCUAAGGAUGAACCAGAAUUGUGGAGGUCUACAAUUUCUUUUGAGGUCUUGGCUGAUUUAUUUAGAUUUUCCCAUGAGGUCAAGCAAAGAGGCACUGAGUUUGAAGGUAGACCUUGAAAUGCAUCCACAGGUACACCUCCAAUUGACUCAAAUGAUGUCAAUUGGCCCAUCAGAAGCUUUUAAAGCCAUGACAUCCUUUUCUGUAAUUUUCCAAGCUGUUUAAAGGCACAGUCAACUUAGUGUAUGUAAACUUCUGACCCACUGGAAUUGUGAUACAGACAAGUGAAAUUUUAAUUCACUGUGAACAAUUGUUGGAAAAAUUACGUGUCAUGCACAAAGUAGAUGUCCUAACCGACUUGCCAAAUCUAUAGUUUGUUAACAAGAAAUUUGUGGAGUGGUUGAAAAACUAGUUAAUGAGUCCAACCUAAGUGUAUGUAAACUGAC
Molecule: long non-coding RNA, 1056 nt
Filed under: Salmo salar (Atlantic salmon)
Lineage: Eukaryota; Metazoa; Chordata; Actinopteri; Salmoniformes; Salmonidae
Description: lncRNA (ENSSSAG00000113570.1)
Source: RNAcentral